Molecule: ribosomal RNA, 301 nt
Filed under: uncultured bacterium
Lineage: Bacteria
Description: partial 16S ribosomal RNA
Rfam family: Bacterial small subunit ribosomal RNA
Source: RNAcentral
CAGUCGCACGGUAAUACGAAGGGUGCAAGCGUUAAUCGGAAUUACUGGGCGUAAAGCGUGCGUAGGCGGUUUGUUAAGUCUGCUGUGAAAUCCCCGGGCUCAACCUGGGAAUGGCAAUGGAUACUGGCAAGCUAGAGUGUGUCAGAGGAUGGUGGAAUUCCCGGUGUAGCGGUGAAAUGCGUAGAGAUCGGGAGGAACAUCAGUGGCGAAGGCGGCCAUCUGGGACAACACUGACGCUGAGGCACGAAAGCGUGGGGAGCAAACAGGAUUAGAUACCCGCGUAGUCCCUGUCUCUUAUACA